UAGCAUUAUAGAGCCAAGGUUCUCAACCUUUUUCUUUCUGAGGCACCCCCAACGUGCUAUAAAAACUCCACUGCUCACCUGUGUCACAACAACUAUUUUUCUGCAUAUAAAGCCAGGGCCAACAUUAGGGGGUAGCAACCAGGGCAAUUGCCUGGGGCCCAAUGCCACAGAGACCCCAUGAAGCUACAUUGCUCAGGCUUUGGCUUCAGCCCCGGGUGGCAGGGCUCAGGGCCCCAGGCUUCAGCCCCAAGCAGUGGAGCUUUGGCUU
This is a long non-coding RNA of Chelonia mydas (Green sea turtle), 268 nucleotides long. RefSeq lists it as uncharacterized. NCBI's taxonomy places the organism in Eukaryota, Metazoa, Chordata, Testudines, Cheloniidae. The transcript has 3 exons. The record is from RefSeq and is a predicted model, not a curated record.